AACGAACGCUGGCGGCGUGGAUUAGGCAUGCAAGUCGAACGGGAAUCUGGAGGUUCAAGUUUUCGGACAAGAACUUUCGGAGGAAAGUGGCGGAAGGGUGAGUACAACAUGGAUAAUCUACCUUCAAGUUGGGUAUAGCUUCCCGAAAGGGGAGAUAAUCCCGAAUGUGGUGAUCCGGCGCCUGUCGGAGAAUCCAAAGGUGGGGACCGCAAGGCCUGCCGCUUGAAGAUGAGUCCGUGCACUAUCAGCUAGUUGGUGAGGUAAUGGCUCACCAAGGCGAUGACGGUUAGCUGGUCUGAGAGGAUGGUCAGCCACACUGGGACUGAGAUACUGCCCAGACUCCUACGGGAGGCUGCAGUCGAGAAUAGUCUACAAUGGUCGGAAGACUGAUAGUGCGACGCCGCGUGAACGAUGAAUCCCUUCGGGGUGUAAAGUUCUUUUAUAUGUGAGCAGUGCUUCUUAUAUUAACAGUAUGGGGAGAGAGAUAUU
This 489-nucleotide ribosomal RNA is filed under the name uncultured bacterium. Its description in RNAcentral is "bacterial SSU rRNA". It matches the Rfam family "Bacterial small subunit ribosomal RNA", at positions 29 to 484 of the family's 1533-position model. The record is from RNAcentral.